GACGAACGCUGGCGGCGUGCUUAACACAUGCAAGUCGAACGGAAAGGCCCUGCUUUUGUGGGGUGCUCGAGUGGCGAACGGGUGAGUAACACGUGAGUAACCUGCCCUUGACUUUGGGAUAACUUCAGGAAACUGGGGCUAAUACCGGAUAGGAGCUCCUGCUGCAUGGUGGGGGUUGGAAAGUUUCGGCGGUUGGGGAUGGACUCGCGGCUUAUCAGCUUGUUGGUGGGGUAGUGGCUUACCAAGGUUUUGACGGGUAGCCGGCCUGAGAGGUUGGCCGGCCACAUUGGGACUGAGAUACGGCCCAGACUCCUACGGGAGGCAGCAGUGGGGAAUAUUGCACAGUGAGCGGAAGCCUGAUACAGCAACGCCGCGUGCGGGAUGACGGCCUUCGGGUUGUGAACCGCUUUCGCCUGUAACGAAGCGUGAGUGACGGUAAUGAGUAAAGAAGCACCGGCUAACUACGUG
RNAcentral lists this ribosomal RNA (468 nucleotides) under uncultured bacterium. RNAcentral's name for it is "partial 16S ribosomal RNA". It matches the Rfam family "Bacterial small subunit ribosomal RNA", at positions 28 to 507 of the family's 1533-position model. The record is from RNAcentral.